Dipodomys ordii (Ord's kangaroo rat) is the source of this 65-nucleotide non-coding RNA. NCBI's taxonomy places the organism in Eukaryota, Metazoa, Chordata, Mammalia, Rodentia, Heteromyidae. The record is from Rfam.
GGUGGCUCAGUGGUAGAGCACUUGCCUUGCAUGCAUGAAGCCCUGGGUUCAAUUCCUCAGCACCA